GGGGAAUAUUGCGCAAUGGGGGAAACCCUGACGCAGCAAUACCGCGUGAGUGAAGAAGGUUUUCGGAUCGUAAAGCUCUGUUAUUGGGGAAGAAAAAAAGACGGUACCCAAGAAGAAAGUCCCGGCUAACUACGUGCCAGCAGCCGCGGUAAUACGUAGGGGACAAGCGUUGUCCGGAUUUACUGGGCGUAAAGGGCACGCAGGCGGUUUUUUAAGUCAGAUGUGAAAUCCCCGGGCUUAACCUGGGAGCUGCAUUUGAUACUGGGUGUCUAGAGUGUAGGAGAGGAAAGUGGAAUUCCUAGUGUAGCGGUGAAAUGCGUAGAGAUUAGGAAGAACACCAGUGGCGAAGGCGACUUUCUGGACUAUAACUGACGCUGAGAUACGAAAGCGUGGGGAGCAAACA
This 403-nucleotide ribosomal RNA is filed under the name uncultured Acetobacterium sp. Its description in RNAcentral is "bacterial SSU rRNA". It matches the Rfam family "Bacterial small subunit ribosomal RNA", at positions 356 to 774 of the family's 1533-position model. The record is from RNAcentral. Lineage: Bacteria; Bacillati; Bacillota; Clostridia; Eubacteriales; Eubacteriaceae.